RNAcentral lists this long non-coding RNA (382 nucleotides) under Homo sapiens (human). Its description in RNAcentral is "HSALNT0359295". Lineage: Eukaryota; Metazoa; Chordata; Mammalia; Primates; Hominidae. The record is from RNAcentral.
UCAUCAAGUGCUGUUUUUCGUCAUCCAAGUGUCAUGAGGGGUGGUGAGUUGCAGUGGAAGGAGGCUCUCAUCCUGUCCAAGAACCCCUUGGUAAUUCUCCAGAUUGCUUACUCUGGGGGAAGUUGGUUGCCACGUUAUAAGGACAUUUCAGUGGCCAACAGAGAUAUCCAUGCAACAAGAAGCUGAAGCUUCCUGCUAACAGAUAUGAGUGAGCCAUCUUGGAAGAAGAUUCUACACAUCCCCAGUCGAGCCUUCAGAUGACUGCAGCCCCUGCCAACAUCCAACCCUAUGAGAGACCCUGAGUUACAACCACCCAGCUAAGCUGCUCCUAAAUUCCUGAUCCACAGAAACUGCAAGAUAAUAAAAUUUUGCUGUUAAGCCA